GAAAUUGGUAUUGCCCCACCAAACACUGCUGUAAGGUCAUAACACCCUUGUUUGGGAGGUCUUCAUGUGACUUACCAACAGCCAUUUAUUUGUUUCUUCUUAUACAUAUGCAACACACAACUGCAACACCCUCCUUCAACCCUGCUCUCUCUCUCUCUCUCUCACACACACACACACACAGAAUCUGAAGCCACCAUGAAGCAAAUUCCAAUAGUGUUUUUCAUCUUCCUCUUUAAUUGUUUUAGUAACAUCUGCUCGACUGAUCUUUACCACCCUAUCAAGCUAAUUGGGUUGGAGGUCACUGAUGAUGAUGAAGACUCUGUCAACUGUGUGAAGAGAAGGGUGAUUGCAGAGGCUCAUUUGGACUACAUUUACACCCAACAACUCAAGGGUUUACCAUAAAAAGCUGUGUUUGUAAUGUGCGUACGUAUAUGAGUAGUGACAAACAUACAUGUUACUUCAGAUGUAGUAAUAAUUUCACAUUAGGUACGUACGUACGUACAUAUAUAUUGUGAAAUGCGAGUAUUAUUAAACUGGGAAAAAAAAAUAUUUGAGCAUUA
Long non-coding RNA from Cornus florida, 560 nucleotides. RefSeq lists it as uncharacterized. The transcript has 2 exons. Lineage: Eukaryota; Viridiplantae; Streptophyta; Magnoliopsida; Cornales; Cornaceae. The record is from RefSeq and is a predicted model, not a curated record.